GAGCGGAUGAAGGGAGCUUGCUCCUGGAUUCAGCGGCGGACGGGUGAGUAAUGCCUAGGAAUCUGCCUGGUAGUGGGGGACAACGUUUCGAAAGGAACGCUAAUACCGCAUACGUCCUACGGGAGAAAGCAGGGGACCUUCGGGCCUUGCGCUAUCAGAUGAGCCUAGGUCGGAUUAGCUAGUUGGUGAGGUAAUGGCUCACCAAGGCGACGAUCCGUAACUGGUCUGAGAGGAUGAUCAGUCACACUGGAACUGAGACACGGUCCAGACUCCUACGGGAGGCAGCAGUGGGGAAUAUUGGACAAUGGGCGAAAGCCUGAUCCAGCCAUGCCGCGUGUGUGAAGAAGGUCUUCGGAUUGUAAAGCACUUUAAGGUGGGAGGAAGGGUUGUAGAUUAAUACUCUGCAAUUUUGACGUUACCGCCAGAAUAAGCACCGGCUAACUCUGUG
Molecule: ribosomal RNA, 448 nt
Filed under: uncultured bacterium
Lineage: Bacteria
Description: bacterial SSU rRNA
Rfam family: Bacterial small subunit ribosomal RNA
Source: RNAcentral